RNAcentral lists this long non-coding RNA (1108 nucleotides) under Sarcophilus harrisii (Tasmanian devil). Its description in RNAcentral is "lncRNA (ENSSHAG00000021121.1)". The record is from RNAcentral. Lineage: Eukaryota; Metazoa; Chordata; Mammalia; Dasyuromorphia; Dasyuridae.
CUAAGAAUUGUUAUGAAUAAUAUAACAGAAUCAUAUAAAAAUCUAGCAACAAAUUUCAAAUUAAAAGCAGAUCAUUACAAUUACCAUUACAAGUACCAGAGAUGAAUUAAAAUAAGCAAAUAAAAAUGGAUCAGUUUUGCAUCCUUCUGUAAUGCCAUACUUCAGUAACAGUUUAACAGAGAAAAGGGUUGAAAAAUGUUAUCAAUAGCUGACCUUUGCAUAACACUUUAAAGUUUACAGUACAUUGAGAACAAUUAAGAUGCUCUAAUAUUAACAAGUAAUUCUGUUCCAAUAAAUCUUUCAAAGCCUAUCAUCACUUAUUAGAUCUUUGUGCAAGUAAAAAUCUGAGACUAUUUCUCAAAUGGCUAUCAUAUCAGAGAUAUUUUUAUUUCCACUGAUAAAUCUUUGAAUUUGAAACUACAAAUCAACACCUUUUUUCACAAAGGUUCAUUGGGCAUGUGCUCCACAUAUAAAUGAUAUAAAAAUCACUUUGUGAUUUUUGUUAUAGUCAUGAUGAAAAAUAAAUUUCCUUUAAAGUAGGGAUGGUAAACAAAGCAAUGACGAUACAUCAAAACAAACUUGUUUUCUUAUGGAACUAAAAUGAUUUCUAUGUAGUAACCGCAUGUUAACAUGCCUAUUAAGAGUACUUUUAAAUCAUUUGUAUAUAUGUACAUAGUGAAUAAAAAAAAAACCCAUAUAUAUGUAUAUGUAUGUAUAUAUGUAUUUGUGCAUGGCAUAGAGAUUACUUUUGGCACAAAGUACUUGCUUUUAAGUACUUUUUAAGCAAAGUACUGUUUAAGGUCAUGUUUCCAAGGACAAAUGAAUCAAAAAAGAGAUGACAUUUCAGAUUAUUUCAGAAAACACCAUAAUUUCGAAGCCAGGGGAAUUUACAGGAAGCUUAGUAGUAAAAAUUUUCUGGUUGUUUCGAGACAAGGUACUAAAUAAGUAUAACCUAACACAAUACACAAUUUUACCAUUUAAAUUAUAAUUAAAACAAUUUAAAAAUCAGUGUCUGUUAAACAAAAAAGGGCAUUAAAAAAUCAUAGUGUAUAUACUACAAUUUCAGAUCACAGAUCAGGAAAUCCUUCAAAUUUUAAUACAUUCAUUG